This 429-nucleotide ribosomal RNA is filed under the name Gemmatimonadota bacterium. Its description in RNAcentral is "Gemmatimonadetes bacterium partial 16S ribosomal RNA". It matches the Rfam family "Bacterial small subunit ribosomal RNA", at positions 355 to 776 of the family's 1533-position model. Lineage: Bacteria; Pseudomonadati; Gemmatimonadota. The record is from RNAcentral.
UAGGGAAUCUUCGGCAAUGGACGAAAGUCUGACCGAGCAACGCCGCGUGAGUGAAGAAGGUUUUCGGAUCGUAAAACUCUGUUGUUAGAGAAGAACAAGGACGUUAGUAACUGAACGUCCCCUGACGGUAUCUAACCAGAAAGCCACGGCUAACUACGUGCCAGCAGCCGCGGUAAUACGUAGGUGGCAAGCGUUGUCCGGUUUUAUUGGGCGUAAAGCGAGCGCAGGCGGUUUCUUAAGUCUGAUGUGAAAGCCCCCGGCUCAACCGGGGAGGGUCAUUGGAAACUGGGAGACUUGAGUGCAGAAGAGGAGAGUGGAAUUCCAUGUGUGGCGGUGAAAUGCGUAGAUAUAUGGAGGAACACCAGUGGCGAAGGCGGCUCUCUGGUCUGUAACUGACGCUGAGGCUCGAAAGCGUGGGGAGCAAACAGG